RNAcentral lists this long non-coding RNA (525 nucleotides) under Androctonus crassicauda. Lineage: Eukaryota; Metazoa; Arthropoda; Arachnida; Scorpiones; Buthidae. The record is from RNAcentral.
GUUUGAUGUACAGGGUGGAGCGGAGAAAACGCGCGCUUUUCAUUACUGAAUAACUUCCUCUCUUUUAUCUAUAGAAGAAAAAAGUUUUACAUUAAAUAGUAAUAUUUUUAUUUUUGAAAUCUACAGACAUUAAUUAGGUUCGGAAAAUAAUGUCGGUAAGAUGACGUUCUUCUUGUCGGACGCAAAUUCGGAGUUUCUCCUCGAUGCUCUGCAAAUGUUUGCUUCUCAAAGCUCCAACAUUUCAUUCGACAAUCCGAUCGAAUGAAAUGUUGUUUCGAUUUCUUGACGAAUGGAAAUUUUCGGGUCAUCGAUUGUGCGUGGUUCGUUCACGUACACUCCAUUUCGGGUAGCCCCGCAAAAAAAUCCCAGAUCGAUAGAUCGGGAGAACGUGGGGACCGAGGAACAUCGCCGAAUGGUGAAAUGCAUGUCCAGGAAACAUUUGUCGAACCACUUCCACGGAUGCUCUCGCCGUGUGAGCUGUGGCACCAUUCUGUUCGAACCACAUUUCUGUCGUAUUCACUCGAU